UACGAAGGGUCCAAGCGUUAUCCGGAUUUAUUGGGUUUAAAGGGUGCGUAGGCGGCUUAUUAAGUCAGUGGUGAAAGCCCGUAGCUUAACUACGGAACUGCCAUUGAUACUGAUGAGCUUGAAUAUACUUGAGGUUGGCGGAAUGUGUCAUGUAGCGGUGAAAUGCUUAGAUAUGACACAGAACACCGAUUGCGAAGGCAGCUAGCUAAAGUACAAUUGACGCUGAUGCACGAAAGCGUGGGGAGCAAACAGG
Molecule: ribosomal RNA, 253 nt
Filed under: uncultured bacterium
Lineage: Bacteria
Description: partial 16S ribosomal RNA
Rfam family: Bacterial small subunit ribosomal RNA
Source: RNAcentral